Long non-coding RNA from Sarcophilus harrisii (Tasmanian devil), 371 nucleotides. RefSeq lists it as uncharacterized. The transcript is spliced from 3 exons. The record is from RefSeq and is a predicted model, not a curated record. Lineage: Eukaryota; Metazoa; Chordata; Mammalia; Dasyuromorphia; Dasyuridae.
CAACUAGCAACCCUGCGGCGAGAAGAGCAGGAAAGCCUGAGAGGGGAGGAGGAGCAAAAGUCCCCCCUCUUUCCCCCUUUCCGAAACCAGAAAUCUGAAGGUUGUUCAGUCUCUGAAGGAUGUUAUUGAUGGAUGAGAUUGCCCAAAUUCCGGGAUAUAUGCUUUUCAAUAUGUACUGGAUAUUCUACCUGACUAGAAAACUUUACAAAGAAUUUAAUCUAAGAUGAAUUCUAGUGUACUGUGUCUACUGAGACUUGGGUUCUGGGGAAGAUGAGGAGUCAAGAAUCUCAAUGGAAAAUGAGAUGAAAGUUAUAGUUCAAAAUUUCCUGAAGAAAAAAUGAGCCAAUUUAAAAUAAAUUGAUGAAAUAAUA